CAGAAGGGAAUCAUUUCAUGCCUCCAAACCUUCUUCAGUCUCAGUUGGACUCACUUCAGCUUGAUCCUUCAGAAGGCAUACUCAAGGUUGAUGCUACUCAAAGUCCUGACGAUACUGUCAAUGGCAUACAAGCUCUGAUCUUCUGAUCGUCAAUUCCUCAGACAAAAAUUAGGUAUUCAAGACCUUAUCUAGUUGAGAUGAAAAGGAGUUUUAUUUUAUUUUAUUUUUUAUUUUUAUUUAAUCUAAUUCAAGUUGAAGAUGGCUCCAUCAAACAUGACUGAUUGGUUUCAAAGUCUCACCAGAUUCAUUUCCAUGUUUUUUUCGUCACUAGGUGUAAUUGAACCCGAGCAUUUGCCUUAUGAAUAUACAGACAGGAAGUGAAAAGGAAUCCAUAGGAAUGACACAGACUCAAAUGACAACAAUGGCAGGAAUCUAAAAUUGGUGAAAAAUAGAUUUUAUUUUGUAACUGAACAUCACUUCUUGAAAGUGCAAUGCCAUAGAUCUUGAUAAUUUUUGUUGGAUAUGAAUAAAAAUGUUUCUACUCGUGCUUGCCUUGGUUGUAAGGUGCUAAAAAAAUUAUGGUUCGGGAUUUAAAUAAGUCAAGAUCAAGAUAACAACAGCUUAUCAAAAGAAUGAACAUACCUAAAGGAUUUAUGCAGGUUUAGUAAAAGCUGCAUAUGCACAUCCUAUGCAGGUUAUGGUAGCAAAGAGGAGAAAUGGAAAAAAAAAGAGGCAAAAUAUGGUUUAAUUUUUUAGUUUCUUAUCAUUGUGGUUUUUGAGGAUACUAAUCGAUUGUCUAGUAUAAAGCCUAUUAUCACCCCUUGUGCAUGAGUGCUUAAGAAAAGCCAAAGUCAGUGACACUAUGUUUUAUUAUGCAAGCUACAUUGAGGGUGUCUUUUGGUAUGAGCCUAUCCUCACAUCCCAUGCAUAGAGGCCUAAGUUUAGGAGACUAUUGUCACAAGAUGAUUCAAAUGAGCCUCCCCAUGGGCUUAUAUAGAGCCAGGAAGCUUCUGGAGACUCCUAGAGUGGGAAGAGAGUGUGGAAGGUUCUAGAGAUGCCUGGAGGAAUCCACACAACUCUACACUAUGGUGGAAGACAUGAGAGGAGUCCACAGCCUUCUAAAGAAUUCCAGAGGUCUCUUGUAUAUUUUUGUACAUAGGCUUGUACCUAAAAUGAUGUUGGACAUUCUAGAAUAUACUUGAAUUGGAAGGAACCCUCCAAGGUUCCAGAGAGUUCCAUUGGUGCCUAUAAAUAGGUGAGGGCCUCAUUUGGCCAAGGCACCAAGCAAGUGAGUCUUCAAAACACUUGUAAAGGCUUCCUUGAGUAAUAAGAGCUUCCAUUCUCUAAGAGUUGCCUACUAAGCUUCUUAAGCUUUCGAGUUGUGAGCAUCUUAGCCUAGCAAGCUAAGCAUUGGGAGCAAGGCUGACUUAGCAAGAUCAAGUGUCUUGACUUGCCUAAGUGUCGCACGAGCUUAGUGAACGACUAAGUCCGUGACACUAUGCUUUGAUUGUCAUGGCUUGUUCUUGGGUGCUUAGGAGAAACAAAUUACGCAACACUAUGCUCCGGUAUGCAAGCUACAUUGAGAGGGUCUUUAUCAAGUUUAAAACUUGUCUAGUAUGGGUCUAUUGUCAUGCCCUAUCCAUGGGUGCUUAGGAGAAGUCUUAAGUUUGGGACACUGAUUGUCAUGCCUUGUGCUUGGGUGCUUAGUGAGAAACCUAAGUAUGCGACACCAUACUUUGAUAUGCAAGCUACAUUGAGGGUGUCUUUCUCAAGUUUAAAACUCGGCUAGUACAAGUCUAUUGUCAUGCUUUAUGGGUGCUCGGGAGAGGCCUAAGUUUCAUUUUGUCCAGCAUGAAGUUACUGUCAUGCCUUGUGGAUGGGUGUUUAGGAGAGGCCUAAGCUUGAGACGCCAUAAUCUCAGUUAUGCUGGUUUUAGGAAAGUAUUAAGAAAAAAAAAAUUAAGAAAAUGAUUUUCUCGUAUUCGGUUUUAUUAAGGAAAAUAUUUAAAAAAAAAAACAAAUAUAAUUCAAAAUGAUUAGAAAUUUAUGUAUUUUCAAAUUAUUUAAUCAUUAUAUAAAAAUUAAAAUAAAUAAAAUGAGUUGACAUAAAAAAAAUUUAUUGAUAUUAAAUAUAUUUUUUAUUUUCCUUCGUUAUAUCUUUCCUUCUACUUUCUUCUUUGUUUUCUUUCUUUUGUAUUUUUCAGCAAAUUUUCUAGGAAUCAAACAUUACCUUAAGAAAUAGAGAAACAAUUGUAAAAAUAUUUUUCUCCUCAUUUUUUUUUUCUACUUUCAUAAAAGUGAGGAAUUUUUUUUUAAAUAGAAAAACAAACAAGAAACAACUUUUAUAAUUUUUUCAUAUUUCUUUAUUUCCUUAUAUUUUUCUUCUAUUUUCUUUUCUUGAACCUUUUGGGAACUAAAUAUAUAUUAAAAAAUGAAGUAUAAUAUAAAUAAAAUAUAUAAAAAACAUAAUACAUAAAAAAGAUAAUUAUAAAUAUUUUUCAAUAUUAGCACAAUUUCUUUGGAAAAUUACUAAUUUACUAUUAUGUACAUAUUUUUUAAAAUCUUUACUAAUUUAUUAUGUACAUAUAUGAAUAAGAAAAUAACUUAAUUUUAUUUAAUAAUUUAAUUGUAUUUAAUAAUUUAAUUGUAUUUAAUAAUUUAAUUGUACUUGACCUUAACUAAAAUUGCACUAGGGUAAAAUCAAAGAAUCAUUCACAUUAUCAUUUUUCCACUACAAGAAUAAAAUAUUUGUUAGAGUUGUUCAUUAUACAUUUUUUUUAUUGCAAAUUAAAUCAUAAUUAUGAAAUUUCAAAAAAUUAAUUAGUUUUAUUUCAAAAUUUAAUUAAUUUUAUUUAUUACCUAAUAUUAUAUAUAAAAAAACUCUAAUUCUAUGUUUGAUUCCUGGAAGUAGUAAGAAAAGAAGAAAAAAAUCAUAAAGAAAAUAGUUUUCUCGUGUUUGGUUUCAUUAAAAAAAUAUGAAAGAAAAUCAAAUAUAAUUAAAAUUAAUUAAAAUUUUAUGAAUUUGAAAAUUAUUUUAUUUUUAUAUAAUAGAGAAAAAUAAGUGAAAUGGGUUUGAAAAAACAUUUUAAAAUAAUUCAUUAACUUUGAAUCUACUUUUUAUUUUCCUUCUACUUUUUCUUUUCAUAGUCUAUUAAUUUUUACUAAUUUAUUAUGCACUUCCUAAACUAUUAUUUUUAUUUAAACAUUAUUACUGAACUAUUUCUUUAAUUAAAACAAAAUUUCUAAGCUAUCAAACGCUCAAUUUCACAUACACCCAAUAAAUAUAUAUAAAAAAAAUAUUUAUAGAUACCAAUAAAAAUGAAACUAAAUAAAAGUAGGAAAAUAAAAUAAGUACCCAAACAAAAGCUUACAAUAAGCUCAAUGCCUCACUUACACCUUCAGUGAGCCUCCUUUUCUUUCAUAAAAUUUGGUUCUCCACGUGUCAUAAAUUUACGCUCACCCAAUGCAAUACCAAUAACAGAAUAGGGUCAUGCAAAACAAAAGGGAGUCCAAAGUAAAUAUGCAUAGCCUAAAAUAAUUCAAGCCCAAAUGUAAUAAACCCAAAAACAUCCUUCAAAUUGAUCUAACAAAUUUCACUACUAAAAAAAAUGGACCCAAAAUUAGCGACAAAAAUAUCUCACAUCCCAUAAACCUUAAUCCAAGAUUCCGAAUUAAUCAGCAAAAUACAAGUACAAUUAACCAAGCCCAAAAUAUGACAAAACAAGAUAAAUUCAAUUAGACCUAAAUUUAAUAUCUCAUAAUUCAAGUCUAAUUUAAUAUACAAAUCGAAUCCUAAACCAAAAUCAAGCUCAAUUUAAUAAAUGUAUAACUAAACAAGUUAAGCAAGCCCAAAUUUCCCAAACCACUACCUAGAAAUCAAAUAAUAAUAAUAAUAAUAACAACAAAAGAAAAUAAAAUAAAAUAAAAUGAAAAUAAAAAUUUUACCUCACGCUUGAAGCCUAAAGUGGAGAAGAAGGUUGUGCAGCAAGAUGCACUGGGUUUGGGUGUCGCGGGUAAAUAGAGUGUGGGAAGAGGGUCUGAUGGUGAGGUCGUGUGAGUGUGUGUGUGGGGAGAAGAAAUAAAGGAAAGUAAGAGAGAAAAUGGGGAAGAAAGAGAGAAGGGAGAAGGAAGGGCUGUGUCUCUGUGAGUGGCCAUGUGUGGUGAGGGGGAGAGUGAAGAAAAAAUGGAAUGAAAAAAUGAGAGAAAAAAGGAGAAAAGAAAAUGGAAAGGGAAAGAAGAGGAGAGAGAGUGGGGGGAGUGUGGGCAGAGAUAAAAAGGAGGAAAGAAAAAAAAAAAAAUAAAGAAAAAAU
Molecule: long non-coding RNA, 4309 nt
Filed under: Vitis vinifera (wine grape)
Lineage: Eukaryota; Viridiplantae; Streptophyta; Magnoliopsida; Vitales; Vitaceae
Description: long non-coding RNA (VVIN_LNC005298)
Source: RNAcentral